This 253-nucleotide ribosomal RNA is filed under the name uncultured bacterium. Its description in RNAcentral is "partial 16S ribosomal RNA". It matches the Rfam family "Bacterial small subunit ribosomal RNA", at positions 524 to 776 of the family's 1533-position model. The record is from RNAcentral.
UCCAGAGGGGGCAAGCGUUGUUCGGAAUUACUGGGCGUAAAGGGCGCGUAGGCGGCCUGCUAAGUCGAACGUGAAAUCCCUGGGCUCAACCCAGGAACUGCGUCCGAUACUGGUUGGCUUGAAUCCGGGAGAGGGAUGUGGAAUUCCAGGUGUAGCGGUGAAAUGCGUAGAUAUCUGGAGGAACACCGGUGGCGAAGGCGACAUCCUGGACCGGUAUUGACGCUGAGGCGCGAAAGCCAGGGGAGCAAACGGG